Molecule: ribosomal RNA, 884 nt
Filed under: uncultured bacterium
Lineage: Bacteria
Description: bacterial SSU rRNA
Rfam family: Bacterial small subunit ribosomal RNA
Source: RNAcentral
AGAGUUUGAUCCUGGCUCAGAACGAACGCUGGCGGCGUGCCUAACACAUGCAAGUCCGACGUGAAAGGGGAGCAAUCCCCCGGUAGGGUGGCAAACGGGUGAGUAAGACAUGGGUGAUCUGCCCUGGAGAUGGGGAUAUCCCUCCGAAAGGGGGGGCAAUACCGAAUAGUAUCCGGUUCCGUGAAGGGGACCGGGGAAAGGGAGGCCUCUGGUACAAGCUUCCGCUCCUGGAUGAGCCCAUGGCCCAUCAGCUAGUUGGUAGGGUAAAGGCCUACCAAGGCGACGACGGGUAGCUGGUCUGAGAGGACAACCAGCCACACUGGCACUGAGACACGGGCCAGACUCCUACGGGAGGCAGCAGUGAGGAAUAUUGCGCAAUGGGGGCAACCCUGACGCAGCAACGCCGCGUGUGGGAAGAAGGCUUUCGGGUUGUAAACCACUUUUGCCCGGGACGAAAGGGAGUGCCCGAAUACGGCAGUCCGAUGACGGUACCGGGAGAAUAAGCCACGGCUAACUCUGUGCCAGCAGCCGCGGUAAGACAGAGGUGGCAAGCGUUGUUCGGAGUUACUGGGCGUAAAGAGUCUGUAGGUGGUCUGUCAAGUCUUUGGUGAAAGGCCGUGGCUUAACCAUGGGAAUGCCAAAGAGACUGGCAGACUGGAGGCUGGGAGAGGGAAGCGGAAUUUCUGGUGUAGCGGUGAAAUGCGUAGAUAUCAGAAGGAAGGCCGGUGGCGAAGGCGGCUUCCUGGAACAGACCUGACACUGAGAGACGAAAGCGUGGGGAGCAAACAGGAUUAGAUACCCUGGUAGUCCACGCCCUAAACGAUGGGUACUAAGUGUGGGAGGGUUAAACCUCCCGUGCCGCAGCCAACGCAGUAAGUACCCCG